UGGCUCAGAUUGAACGCUGGCGGCAGGCUUAACACAUGCAAGUCGAGCGGAGAGAGGUAGCUUGCUACUGAUCUUAGCGGCGGACGGGUGAGUAAUGCUUAGGAAUCUGCCUAUUAGUGGGGGACAACAUUUCGAAAGGAAUGCUAAUACCGCAUACGUCCUACGGGAGAAAGCAGGGGAUCUUCGGACCUUGCGCUAAUAGAUGAGCCUAAGUCGGAUUAGCUAGUUGGUGGGGUAAAGGCCUACCAAGGCGACGAUCUGUAGCGGGUCUGAGAGGAUGAUCCGCCACACUGGGACUGAGACACGGCCCAGACUCCUACGGGAGGCAGCAGUGGGGAAUAUUGGACAAUGGGCGGAAGCCUGAUCCAGCCAUGCCGCGUGUGUGAAGAAGGCCUUAU
This 398-nucleotide ribosomal RNA is filed under the name Acinetobacter calcoaceticus. RNAcentral describes it as "bacterial SSU rRNA". It matches the Rfam family "Bacterial small subunit ribosomal RNA", at positions 20 to 420 of the family's 1533-position model. The record is from RNAcentral. Lineage: Bacteria; Pseudomonadati; Pseudomonadota; Gammaproteobacteria; Moraxellales; Moraxellaceae.